RNAcentral lists this ribosomal RNA (648 nucleotides) under Lunella coronata. RNAcentral describes it as "partial 12S ribosomal RNA". Lineage: Eukaryota; Metazoa; Mollusca; Gastropoda; Trochida; Turbinidae. The record is from RNAcentral.
GACAAACUAGGCCAAGCUAAGACAAACACAGUAAAAAAGGGGGUUAGAAACUAACAAUUAAACUUAGAGAUAAAAUUUAAGUAUAAUCACAAAAGCUAAAAGAUUAAGUUUUCUGUAGAGGUGGAAUUUGUGCAGAAUAAACAAUCUAUUUCUUUUUUAUUUUGACGCCCCGAAAUCUUGCUUUAAAACCGGGAUUAGAUACCCCGCUAUUCAAGAUGUAAAUUUUAAUUUUAAUAUUUUACUUGAGCAUUACGGGUCCUAUAAAUCCUUAUUUAUAGGACGCACCUAAAACUCAAAAAACUUGGCGGUGCCUUAAAUCCUUUCAGGGGAACCUGUCCUGUAAUCGAUAGUCCACGAUUUACCUUUCCUUUUUUUGAAAAAUCAGCCUGUAUACCGUCGUCGCCAGAUUACCUCUAAGAGAGAAGAAGUUAUCAACAAGGGAAGUACAAGGGUAAACUACGAUAAUUUAGUAGUUAAGUUUAUAAACCCUAAACGUCAGAUCAAGGUGCAGCCGAUAUUAAGGAAGAGAUGGGUUACAAUAAAUAAUCAUUAAAUGAAUUUCUUUUUGCAAAAUAAAAGUUUGAAAGCGGACUUGAAAGUAAUUAAAGAGAAACAGUGAGUCUCGGUGAACAUGGCCCUAAGGCGUGC